RNAcentral lists this ribosomal RNA (737 nucleotides) under uncultured Mortierella. RNAcentral describes it as "eukaryotic LSU rRNA". The stretch from base 243 to 396 matches the Rfam family "5.8S ribosomal RNA". The record is from RNAcentral. Lineage: Eukaryota; Fungi; Mortierellomycota; Mortierellomycetes; Mortierellales; Mortierellaceae.
CUUGGUCAUUUAGAGGAAGUAAAAGUCGUAACAAGGUUUCCGUAGGUGAACCUGCGGAAGGAUCAUUCAUAAUAAAGUGUUUUAUGGCACUUUUUUAAAAAAUCCAUAUCCACCUUGCGUGCAAUGUUUUUUAGAUCUAGCCAAAAUGAUAUUUUGGUUAGGUUUUAUUAUAGUACAUCAACUCUUAUUUAACUUGAUUUGUCUGAAAAAUAUUAUGAAUUUUUUAACUUAAUUCAAAAUACAACUUUCAACAACGGAUCUCUUGGCUCUCGCAUCGAUGAAGAACGCAGCGAAAUGCGAUACGUAAUGUGAAUUGCAGAAUUCAGUGAAUCAUCGAAUCUUUGAACGCAUAUUGCGCUCUCUGGUAUUCCGGAGAGCAUGCUUGUUUGAGUAUCAGUAAACACCCUCAGAGCUUUUUUUUUCCUUGAUUUUCGAAUCUUGGGGCUCUGGAUUUGAGUGAUCCCAACGUGGUCUUUUUCGAAAGGACAUGGCGGGCCACUUGAAAUACAGGUGCAGCUGAACUUUCUUCUGAGCUAAAAGCAUAUUUAUUUAGUCCUGUCAGCACAUGUGCUGCCGGAUUAUUACUUCUGCUGCAGCUUACAUAAAGGUUGACUGUUCAAAUGCUGACUGAUACAGAAUUUUUAGCACAGAAAGCGCAAGCGGAUCUGUGCUGUUAAACUCGAUCUCAAAUCAAGUAAGACUACCCGCUGAACUUAAGCAUAUCAAUAAGCGGAGGA